This is a non-coding RNA of Plectropomus leopardus (leopard coralgrouper), 384 nucleotides long. The record is from RefSeq and is a predicted model, not a curated record. Lineage: Eukaryota; Metazoa; Chordata; Actinopteri; Perciformes; Serranidae.
UGAUUUUUCUUCUUCCAGAUCCUGCCCGGAGUUCGUAUCAUCAUCGCCAACCCGGAGACCAAAGGACCGCUGGGAGACUCCCACCUCGGAGAGAUCUGGGUGCACAGCGCUCAUAACGGCAGCGGUUACUACAGCGGCUACGGCGAGGAGGUCCUUCAGUCCGAUCACUUCAACUCCAGACUCAGUUUCGGAGACACUCAGACGGUCUGGGCCAGGACGGGAUACCUGGGCUUCCUACGCCGCACCGAGCUCACCGACGCCAACGGAGAGAGACACGACGCUCUGUUUGUGGUCGGCGCUCUGGAGGAGGCCAUGGAGCUGCGGGGGAUGAGGUACCAUCCCAUCGACAUCGAGACCUCCGUCAUCCGCGCGCACAAGAGCAUC